GCCGUCGGUGUCGGACGAUCGGAGUGCAGCCGGGACUAAUCGCCGGGCACACAUUUCUGCACCGCACCCGCCUCGGCCGCCAUUCUGAUUACUUAACUUCUGGAAAACAUGGGUGAUGAGUCUGCGGAUGAGUACUAUGGCAUCAUCAGGAAGACGUUUGCUAGUGAGGAUGAUGGAUUUGAGUUCUAUAACAGUUAUGCUCUUGAGAAAGGUUUUUGUGUGUAGAAAAGAUAUGUUGAGUGGGAUGAAGCCAACCAGGAGAUAAUUCUGAGGAAACUGGUAUGUAGUCGAGAAGAGAAGCACAUGAAGAGAGUAGGAAGAGGAGGCCACAGAACCUCACUCUUGCUGGGUGUCGAGCCAAAUUUGUCAUUGCAAGAGUCAAUAAAAUGGUCUGUGGUUUGUGAAGGAUUUUGUCGAUGAACACACCCAUCUGUUUCAAUAUACAUAAAGUAGAUUACAAAGCUAUUAGAGGAAAGCUGACUUGUAAUACACAUUUUAUGUUCCACAAGAACAGACAAAGAGUUACUUUAACA
Long non-coding RNA from Lolium rigidum, 533 nucleotides. RefSeq lists it as uncharacterized. NCBI's taxonomy places the organism in Eukaryota, Viridiplantae, Streptophyta, Magnoliopsida, Poales, Poaceae. The record is from RefSeq and is a predicted model, not a curated record. The transcript is spliced from 2 exons.